This is a long non-coding RNA of Glycine soja, 1158 nucleotides long. RefSeq lists it as uncharacterized. NCBI's taxonomy places the organism in Eukaryota, Viridiplantae, Streptophyta, Magnoliopsida, Fabales, Fabaceae. The record is from RefSeq and is a predicted model, not a curated record. The transcript is spliced from 2 exons.
AAAAUAUCUUAUAAUUCUAAUAACACUUACUAUGCAAGUAUCACCCUCACCGCGGGCCCGGAAUAUUGAGUAAGAGAUCAGAUUGCUGAUAAAGAUCGGUCUGAACACUUCAAAAUCUGAUAAGAACAUUUGGUAUUCACUGUGGGAUCGAGAUAAAUUUUCUUCGACACAACCAACAUAAUCGAUUAACUAACUUAACAGUGUCAUCAGCAAGAAAUCAAGGGGGAGUAUUUUAUCUACCUUCAAAGUAGUUGUUCGCAAUACAUUCUUUUAUUAAAUUUUAUCUUGGCAUCAAUUUUCGACCUUAAUAUUUUCGUUCAAAUUCAUAGUUUACAAGCAGGAACCUUAAUUCAGACUUGCAUAGUAGAGAUGCUAAUCACGCCUGAGACCAAAAUGGGCAAGCAUCCUGUGCAACACUAUCAAGAAUUCGGCCUAUAUAUUGAAGCGAAUGAUGUCGCUGCACCACCAAAAUGCAAAGGAACCCAUAAUGACCCUAUCAAGGCAGAAGUUAAAUAUGCGGAACGAUGGCAUGACGAGUUUGGUGGAAGCAUGUAUUGGGUGGAACCGAAGUGGCGUAGAUAUAGGUUUAAACUGAUUCGCGUCUUCUCACAAUACCUCUAGGUAAACUCCAAAGGGCCGAGAGACUAGAGAUCUAGAUGAUCUUUACAUAAAUUAAAACAGACACAACAACAGCAUUCGGGCACUGAAAGAAUGACUCCCACUAUCCAGCUGGUUAGUGCCAACGAUUGUAGUUUAUGACAAACACUUAGGAAAGCCUUAAGCAACAUAUCCUAUAUAUCUGGAGACGCAAGCAACACAGGGAAAAUGGGCUUUCAUUUUAUACACAAAUUGAUGAUUCUUUAUUGAUUCUCCUAUGACAUUCAAUUGAUGGACGAAAGGAUGCUUGCUUGAAGGAGGGUGAUUGAGUCUUUUACUGCUUGUUCAGUUUGUAUUUUUGUUAAUGUGAUCAAUUAACUUUGGCACAACAUGCUUGUUGUCUGGGGUGCGACCGUGAGUGUGACAUGAAAGGUACAAGAUUAAAAGGUACACUGCUAUUUUCUUACAACAAUGUGAUUGAGUGACACCAUUGUGGAAUUUCCUAAAGAUCUGGUCUUCUAUCUUGACAAUAAAGUUCCACAAGGUUUUAUGUAUUCCUAA